Molecule: ribosomal RNA, 253 nt
Filed under: uncultured bacterium
Lineage: Bacteria
Description: partial 16S ribosomal RNA
Rfam family: Bacterial small subunit ribosomal RNA
Source: RNAcentral
UACGAAGGUGGCAAGCGUUGUUCGGAUUCACUGGGCGUACAGGGAGCGUAGGCGGUUGGGUAAGCCCUCCGUGAAAUCUCCGGGCCCAACCCGGAAAGUGCAGAGGGGACUGCUCAGCUAGAGGACGGGAGAGGAGCGCGGAAUUCCCGGUGUAGCGGUGAAAUGCGUAGAGAUCGGGAGGAAGGCCGGUGGCGAAGGCGGCGCUCUGGAACGUUUCUGACGAUGAGGCUCGAAAGAGUGGGGAGCAAACAGG